GUUACUGCAGCGGCACAUAUACUAACACUGGAAUGAUACAGAUAUCUGUAAGGCCCCUGCAUAAAAAUAACCCACAAGUUCAUGAAGUGUUCCGUAUUUUC
This 101-nucleotide small nuclear RNA is filed under the name Suricata suricatta (meerkat). Lineage: Eukaryota; Metazoa; Chordata; Mammalia; Carnivora; Herpestidae. The record is from RNAcentral.